Molecule: long non-coding RNA, 308 nt
Filed under: Phasianus colchicus (ring-necked pheasant)
Lineage: Eukaryota; Metazoa; Chordata; Aves; Galliformes; Phasianidae
Description: lncRNA (ENSPCLG00000007820.1)
Source: RNAcentral
AGAGCAUGCUGUUUGAUUACAUCCUAAACUGUAUCUGUGAAAAGAGAGCUGGGAGCCAUAACACAGCAGAUGUACACAAGGUGACCAAGAUCAGUAUCUAAGCCACUAUCAGGAGACUCAACAAUACAUUUUCCAGUGUCUAAGACAAUAAGUUUAAGAUGUCGUGAAGAAAGGUGUUCCACUCUUGUAAAAGGAGCAAGCAGUCUUUACCCUCAGGACUAAAAGUCAGAAGUCACAAUCACCUGCAGGGCAGUAUCCUGACAACUACGGCUAUAGGUGAGUAUUCUAGCUGCAAGGGGAAGGUGCAU